Molecule: transfer-messenger RNA, 355 nt
Filed under: Phycisphaerae
Lineage: Bacteria; Pseudomonadati; Planctomycetota
Also listed under: 1 other name
Description: JAFGJQ01 sp020353195 Standard tmRNA
Rfam family: transfer-messenger RNA
About the family: Bacterial tmRNA, also known as 10Sa RNA or SsrA, is named for its dual tRNA and mRNA-like properties. Its role is to liberate the mRNA from a stalled ribosome. To accomplish this part of the tmRNA is used as a reading frame that ends in a translation stop signal.
Source: RNAcentral
GGGGGCGAACGGGUUCGACCGGGUGUGAAGACGGGAUAGUGGCGCGCCCAGGUUGUCAGGUGGCCUGGUAAAAAACCUGACGCAACUUUUACAUGCCAACUCUCAGUUGCGCAUGGCUGCCUAAAAGCAGGUAGCCCGUCCUGCAGGAGACGCCCACUAUUCUGCCGGACGCUGCCAGUGGGCUGGCCGGUGGACGACGCCUGACCGUCCGCGGGCGAGAAUUCAGUCGGGCUGGAGGAAGCGGGAGCCUGUCGACCGGCGCCCGCCGACUCGAGACUCAAAAGACCGACUACGCGCGUAGAAGCUAUCCCCGAACCACCGCGGGACGGGGGUUCGAUUCCCCCCGCCUCCAUUU